RNAcentral lists this ribosomal RNA (487 nucleotides) under uncultured bacterium. Its description in RNAcentral is "bacterial SSU rRNA". It matches the Rfam family "Bacterial small subunit ribosomal RNA", at positions 1008 to 1503 of the family's 1533-position model. The record is from RNAcentral.
AAGGAUGCCCGUCUACGGACCUGCGACGAGGUGCUGCAUGGUUGUCGUCAGCUCGUGCCGUGAGGUGUCGGCUUAAGUGCCAUAACGAGCGCAACCCCUACCGCCAGUUGCCAACAGGCAAAGCUGGGGACUCUGGCGGGACUGCCGGCGCAAGCUGCGAGGAAGGCGGGGAUGACGUCAAAUCAGCACGGCCCUUACGUCCGGGGCGACACACGUGUUACAAUGGCAGGUACAGCGGGAAGCCACCUGGCGACAGGGAGCGGAACCCGAAAGCCUGUCUCAGUUCGGAUUGGAGUCUGCAACCCGACUCCAUGAAGCUGGAUUCGCUAGUAAUCGCGCAUCAGCCACGGCGCGGUGAAUACGUUCCCGGGCCUUGUACACACCGCCCGUCAAGCCAUGGGAGUCGGGAGUGCCUGAAGUGCGUGAGCGCGAGCAGCGCCCUAGGGCAAAACCGAUGACUGGGGCUAAGUCGUAACAAGGUAGCCGU